Molecule: ribosomal RNA, 423 nt
Filed under: uncultured bacterium
Lineage: Bacteria
Description: bacterial SSU rRNA
Rfam family: Bacterial small subunit ribosomal RNA
Source: RNAcentral
AAGACCUUACGCUUUUGGAGCGGCCGAUGUCUGAUUAGCUUGUUGGUGAGGUAAAGGCUUACCAAGGCUUCGAUCAGUAGCUGGUCUGAGAGGACGACCAGCCAUACUGGGACUGAGACACGGCCCAGACUCCUACGGGAGGCAGCAGUGGGGAAUUUUGGACAAUGGGGGCAACCCUGAUCCAGCCAUGCCGCGUGAGUGAAGAAGGCCUUCGGGUUGUAAAGCUCUUUCAGCCGGAACGAAACGGUUACGGUUAAUACCCAUGACUACUGACGGUACCGGAAGAAGAAGCACCGGCUAACUACGUGCCAGCAGCCGCGGUAAUACGUAGGGUGCGAGCGUUAAUCGGAAUUACUGGGCGUAAAGCGUGCGCAGGUGGUUUUGUAAGUCAGAUGUGAAAGCCCCGGGCUCAACCUGGGAACU